Molecule: ribosomal RNA, 253 nt
Filed under: uncultured bacterium
Lineage: Bacteria
Description: partial 16S ribosomal RNA
Rfam family: Bacterial small subunit ribosomal RNA
Source: RNAcentral
UACAGAGGGUGCAAGCGUUAGUCGGAGUUACUGGGCGUAAAGCGUGCGUAGGUGGAUAUCCAAGUCGAUUGUGAAAGCCCCGGGCUCAACCUGGGAACUGCAGUCGAUACUGGAUAUCUCGAGUAAGGUAGAGGAAAGUGGAAUUCCCAGUGUAGCGGUGGAAUGCGUAGAUAUUGGGAAGAACACCAAUGGCGAAGGCAGCUUUCUGGACCUAUACUGACACUGAAGCACGAAAGCGUGGGGAGCAAACAGG